GCUUACGGCCAUACCGCUCUGAUCAAGCCCGAUCUCGUCUGAUCUCGGAUUCUAAGCAAAGCCGGGCAUGGUUAGUACUUGAAGGGAGACUGCUUGGGAAUACCGUGUGCUGUAAGUU
RNAcentral lists this ribosomal RNA (118 nucleotides) under Gouania willdenowi (blunt-snouted clingfish). The record is from RNAcentral. Lineage: Eukaryota; Metazoa; Chordata; Actinopteri; Blenniiformes; Gobiesocidae.